GAUGAAGAACGAAGCGAAAUGCGAUACUUGGUGUGAAUUGCAGAAUCCCGUGAACCAUCGAGUCUUUGAACGCAAGUUGCGCCCGAAGCCAUUAGGCCGAGGGCACGCCUGCCUGGGCGUCACACGUCGUUGCCCCCCCAUCUACUCCUUCGGGAUUGCGGGGGGCGGAUGAUGGCCUCUCGUGCGCCUCGUCGCGCGGUUGGCCUAAAUGCCAAGUCCUCGGCGACGCACGCCACGACAAUCGGUGGUUGCGAAACCUCGGUUGCCAGUCGUGUGCGGUCGUCGCGCAUCGAGGGCUCGAAAAAAUUGCCGGGCUUCGGCUCGACUUUCAACGCGACCCCAGGUCAGGCGGGGUUACCCGCUGAAUUUAAGCAUAUCAAUAAGCGGAGGA
Molecule: unclassified non-coding RNA, 391 nt
Filed under: soil metagenome
Description: partial contains 5.8S ribosomal RNA, internal transcribed spacer 2, and large subunit ribosomal RNA
Rfam family: 5.8S ribosomal RNA (bases 1-122)
Source: RNAcentral